AAUAAAUAUAAAUACAAGGAAAAAAAACAAAAGAGGGAUCUGAAAAUUUGAGAGAGAAUCGGCAGGAGAGAGAAGGGAGAAAGAAGAAGAAGAUAAAAGAGGGAAAUUAGAAGGGAAAUAGAAAGGAAUUGAAGGAAAUAAGUUUAAAGAUAAUCCUAAUAUUCUACCGGCGGGACGUCAAUAGGAUUUUCUUCGGUGUCUGCUUUUGACUUCCGUUUGCUUUCGAGUCAGGCGUAUAGCUUGUUAGCGGGUUAUUUUUGUUGAACCUUCCGAACCUGCUUUUCAGUUGUAAUUUGUACCUUUUUUUUGUCUAGUUAGUGCUCCAAAACUAUGAAAUUAUAUUAACUCUUAUAUUAAGACAAUUUAAUUAUAUUAUGAAGUUAAUUUUGUUAUAAA
Molecule: long non-coding RNA, 396 nt
Organism: Populus nigra (black poplar)
Lineage: Eukaryota; Viridiplantae; Streptophyta; Magnoliopsida; Malpighiales; Salicaceae
Exons: 3
Source: RefSeq, a predicted model, not a curated record